RNAcentral lists this ribosomal RNA (465 nucleotides) under Vreelandella stevensii. Its description in RNAcentral is "partial 16S ribosomal RNA". It matches the Rfam family "Bacterial small subunit ribosomal RNA", at positions 338 to 795 of the family's 1533-position model. Lineage: Bacteria; Pseudomonadati; Pseudomonadota; Gammaproteobacteria; Oceanospirillales; Halomonadaceae. The record is from RNAcentral.
CCUACGGGUGGCAGCAGUGGGGAAUAUUGGACAAUGGGCGAAAGCCUGAUCCAGCCAUGCCGCGUGUGUGAAGAAGGCCUUCGGGUUGUAAAGCACUUUCAGUGGGGAAGAAAGCCUUGGGGCUAAUACCCUCGAGGAAGGACAUCACCCACAGAAGAAGCACCGGCUAACUCCGUGCCAGCAGCCGCGGUAAUACGGAGGGUGCGAGCGUUAAUCGGAAUUACUGGGCGUAAAGCGCGCGUAGGCGGUCUGAUAAGCCGGUUGUGAAAGCCCCGGGCUCAACCUGGGAACGGCAUCCGGAACUGUCAGGCUAGAGUGCAGGAGAGGAAGGUAGAAUUCCCGGUGUAGCGAUGAAAUGCGUAGAGAUCGGGAGGAAUACCAGUGGCGAAGGCGGCCUUCUGGACUGACACUGACGCUGAGGUGCGAAAGCGUGGGUAGCAAACAGGAUUAGAUACCCUGGUAGUC